CUAGAAUCCCAUCUCUUCUCUUUGAACCUGCACAUCUAGGAUGAUAUAUUGGAAAAAAAAACCAAGGGAAAUAUGGGCAUAAGGAAAUGGUUAUUAAACAAGAUUUUCCUUUCACUAAAUUUCGUGUUACUCUAAUCAAACAAAUGAGUGAAAAUACAGGCCAGGUUACUUUGAAUCAAUAACAUCAGCUAUUAUUCUUAAACAAACAAACUCAUUGUAAAGUAGUCCACAGGUCCCCACACACAUAUAAUUAUGAUUUACUAGUACUCCGAAGCAAGAAGAAUAAAAAAAUGUUAUGAGUAAGGAGUAGAGUAAUAGGGGGUUAGUCCAAUAGUUAAAUUAGGAGAUUCUAUUGUACUAGUCUAU
Molecule: unclassified non-coding RNA, 366 nt
Filed under: Hevea brasiliensis (rubber tree)
Lineage: Eukaryota; Viridiplantae; Streptophyta; Magnoliopsida; Malpighiales; Euphorbiaceae
Source: RNAcentral